GGUCUGCGCCGUGGCGGCUCCGAUCACCCCGGGGCAGUGCCCGUGUUGGCCCCGUACUGUGUGACCGACCCCGGCAUGCCUCCCGUCCGCUGUGCAGCCCCAUAGCCCGUCCGACCCCGUGUCUGCACCUGGAUUCCCCGAAACCCCAACACGGACAAUGCAGAACGAGAGCGCCCUUCUGCUUCCUCUUUGUAUUCCCAUCCCAGAUCGUGGGGACGCGCUGUGUGGGGCAGGCAGCGUUCUGAUGGACGCAGUGAUGGGAAUUUGGAGCAUUGUUUCAAAGCAGCACCCGGCAGAGCUCCAGUCACCAAAGCACCGCGCGUUUCCUUCCUUCUGCUUAUCAGCACAGCGCCUGACAGUGCUGGCGGCAUUCCUGGCCAUAAAGGGGGCUGUAAUUAACGACCUAACGAUGCAACUGGUUUUUGCAGGUGGAGGGACACUGGGGUCAGCCACCUUUGGUCACCGUGGAACCAAAUACAUUUGGAACAUGCCAUCUUCUGUGCAGCUGAGAAUUGCCCCCCACCCCAGUACCCCAAACGGACGCCAACGAGAACAGCCGUCCUUCCUGGCAGCAGGGAGCCCUCCUGACCCAUCGCAUGGCCAUGCCGUCGCCGCGUGCUCACGAGUUCUUUUUUGAGCAGCACUACGGCUGCGUGCCGGAGCGUUUCUCCAAAGGCUGGGUGGCAUCACAUCUCAACAAUGCAAAACCCUUCGUACCCACUUGGAAGAAUCGGAGAACCUUGGAAAAUUCUGAGCUGGAAGGAACCAUCGUGAUAUUCGUGUCCAAUUUCUACCUCCAUACAGGACUGCCCUGAAAGAAGAUAAGGAGCUCUAUCAGCUGGUGGCAAAACCAUGGGCUGGCAGGGUACCAAGCUUCUGUAGGAUAACAUUUGCUGGCACCUUGUCACAGAGCUGCCAACAGUGACAUGUUCUGUGUCACUGCAGCUGAUCCCACUGCUGCCCACAGUGGUGGGAGGGCUGUGAGCUGGGAGUGGGGACCAGUGGGAGGAAAUGGGGACCUCUGGGUGUGCUGUGCGGUGUGGGGGGAGGCAGAAUUGUUGGGGGAAGGGAAAGGGAUGGGCACAGAAGGAAUGGACUAAAGGUUGGCGUGAAAGGAACAGGGUGAGGCAGUGUGUAGGUGUCAGGCAAGAUGAUCAUAGAGGUCUUUUCUGACAUUAUUGAUUCUAUAGGGCUGGGAGGGGAAGGAAAGCUGGAGCCUGAAGGCAGGCAGCUUGUUUUUGCAGGGCCCAAUUAGGGAUGUAGAAAAAAAUUCCCAAAGUGUUGGGAUCUGCAGCUGUCCUGCUCCCACACCCCAUGACCUUACUCUGAAUGAAGCACACAUCAAACCCGAUGCUGCAGGAAAGGGAGCUCUUUGGGGUUCAGUGCUCUGUGGGAGGAACCAUGGGGUUAGUGGGAAUGGCCAUGGAGAGGAGUGGGGAAUGGUUCUUCUUUGUAUCGGUGUGGUAAUAACAGCAGGAAUUCCACCUGCAGGAGCUGACAGAGCAGCUCUGUCCCCAUUGGAACCUCACGUCUUUCAGCCCGUGUGUAACUCCACGAUGGGCCAAAGCUGGGGGAGAGGGAUCUGAAUUCAGUUCUGUCAGUGGACCUGGAUCUUGUUUUUCUGAGACUGUUUUUGUUGUUGCAGAUGAACACACAAAAAGGAAGAGCUGUCCUUCAAUGGCAGUCAGUGCCCACGCAGAGCAGUGAUCCUCAUGGGAUGGUCACAAAGUGCCUGGAUACGUUCAGGAGGAGAUGUGUUGCUCUUCAAACCUGUGCUGCUUUGCUUUCCUCAUCCACACGUCCGUGCGUCUCUCAGCAAAAGGGUCUUUGGAAGAAAGAGUUGGGAACAGUGCAGGUGAGGGGGGCUCUCUGCUCACGUCUGUGCAGUGCAGGGCGGUGUGAGUGCUCCCAACGGAGCAGCAGCUUCUCAGCUUCAUUCCCUGGGUCAUUGCUGUGAACCAGAGAGCAUCGCUGGGUGGUCCUGAAUGGGAGCAGUUCCUAAAUUGGCCCAAACGAAGCAGUUCAGCUGUGUAAAUCCUCUGCCUGAUGGAAAGCAGCGCAUUUAGGACUCCACAUAUCCUUAGAGAUGUUUCUAUGGGGCAGAAAUGGGGCCUGGUCUGUAUUGGGAACAUCAUCCUGGAGAACAAUGGGGUGAAAAGGGAUGCAGCUGAUUCAGUUUCCUUUGGUAGGUGUGUCUACGUGCUGGCAAAGGGCUGAAUGGAAAUGUGCUUGCAUUACCACAUUUAUUUUAGCAUUGGAACAGGCUGCCCAGGGAGGUGGUGGAGUCUCCUGCUCUGGAGAUGUUCAAGACCUGCCUGGAUGCCGACCUGUGCGACCUGCUGUAGGGAACCUGCUUCCUGAAGGGAGGUUGUGGUGCAAAAGGUUCUGGCCUCUUCUCCCAGGCAAAUAGUAGGACCCGAGGAAAUGGCCAGAAGUUGUACCAGAGGAGGUUUAGGUUGGAUAUUAGGAGAAACUUUUUCUCUCAAAGGGUUGUCAGGCACUGCAAUGGCUGCCCAGGGAGGUGGUGGAGUCGCCAUCCCUGGCAGUGUUCAAGAGGUGCCUGGAUGAGGAGCUACGAGAGAUGGUUUAGUGCUUGUGGCACUGAUAGGAGUGGGGGGAUGGUUGGACUGGAUGAUCUUGCAGGUCAUUUCCAACCUUGUGAUUC
Molecule: long non-coding RNA, 2665 nt
Organism: Lagopus muta (rock ptarmigan)
Lineage: Eukaryota; Metazoa; Chordata; Aves; Galliformes; Phasianidae
Exons: 6
Source: RefSeq, a predicted model, not a curated record